RNAcentral lists this ribosomal RNA (425 nucleotides) under uncultured bacterium. RNAcentral describes it as "bacterial SSU rRNA". It matches the Rfam family "Bacterial small subunit ribosomal RNA", at positions 8 to 450 of the family's 1533-position model. The record is from RNAcentral.
AGAGUUUGAUCAUGGCUCAGGAUGAACGCUGGCGGUAUGCCUAACACAUGCAAGUCGUACGAGAGUUUUUAACUCUAGUGGCGGACGGGUGAGUAACACGUAAGAAUUUACCUUCAGGGAGGGGGGAUAACAAUUGGAAACAAAUGCUAAUACCCCAUAUGCUUUCGAGUGAAAUGGAUUUAUAUUUAUCCNCCUAAAGAGAAGCUUGCGUCUGAUUAGCUUGUUGGUAAGGUAAAAGCUUACCAAGGCGACGAUCAGUAUCUGGUUGGAGAGGACGAUCAGACACACUGGAACUNACACACGNUCCAGACUCCUACGGGAGGCAGCAGUGGGGAAUUUUCCGCAANGGGCGAAAGCCUGACGGAGCAAUACCGCGNGAGGGAAGACUGCCUAUGGGUUGUAAACCUCUUUUUUCAGGGAGGGUC